UUUGCCUCCAGAUCAUAUAGUAAACAAACGAAAUGGAGAGAAAAGAGAAGAGAGGAGAAUCUCUCAGAUGGUGAAUCUUCUUAGAACGAUUAUAGGCUCCCUCUAUUUCCCCUAUAGUCCUUUCCUCAUUCUUGUUUUUGACCUUGAUGAAUUGUCUGUGGCACAUAUGCUUGGAUUUAUGACGAGAGUAAGGAAAGGACUAUGUGAAAAGUUGAGGGUGAGGGUGAUGGUGGCGGGUAACAUUCCAGCAGGCUACACCUAACCUACAUCAAAGGUGUCAAUAUUUAUAUCAUGGCCAUCAUAGAAAUGCUAUAAUCUUAUUUGUAGAGGCACCUUUGUCGAGAUGUACAUGAUGUUUGAGAUACCUAACUGCUUGCAUGGGACUAUGAUCUAAUGCACUCUCAUUCACUUUCAAUAAAAGAACUUGAGAUAAGGAGAACUAUGUCCUUCUCUUGCCUUUCAUUCUCAGGACUUUGGUGUGCCACGGGCCCAUGAAUUUAGUUGACCUCGUGCAUGUGGUGGUAGCACAUUCUUAUCUUAGCCUAGUCUUUAGUUUAUUGUAUUUUGUAACAGACUUCCCAAUCUCGUUCUAUGUAAUCUUUUGCCCCAUUUGGAGGCUAUUUUGUAAGAAAGAAGAAGCUUUCAAC
Molecule: long non-coding RNA, 647 nt
Filed under: Capsicum annuum
Lineage: Eukaryota; Viridiplantae; Streptophyta; Magnoliopsida; Solanales; Solanaceae
Description: long non-coding RNA (CANN_LNC020643)
Source: RNAcentral